UAUAAUGUUUCAGUCUUCGUUUUAUUUGAAUUUUUUUGUGAUUAAUAUUUUUAUUGUGACUAGACGAUAAAAUAUAAAUAGUAUUUUACACGUGACUAAUUUUAUUAAUUUUUUCUAUAAAUUUUUUAAAUAAGAUGAAUGAUCAAACAUUGGACA
RNAcentral lists this microRNA precursor (156 nucleotides) under Oryza brachyantha (malo sina). Its description in RNAcentral is "MIR812 microRNA precursor family". It matches the Rfam family "MIR812 microRNA precursor family", at positions 27 to 181 of the family's 205-position model. Lineage: Eukaryota; Viridiplantae; Streptophyta; Magnoliopsida; Poales; Poaceae. The record is from Rfam by way of RNAcentral.